UACGUAGGUGGCAAGCGUUAUCCGGAAUUAUUGGGCGUAAAGCGGGAGCAGGCGGCAGCAAAGGUCUGUGGUGAAAGACUGAAGCUUAACUUCAGUAAGCCAUAGAAACCGGGCAGCUAGAGUGCAGGAGAGGAUCGUGGAAUUCCAUGUGUAGCGGUGAAAUGCGUAGAUAUAUGGAGGAACACCAGUGGCGAAGGCGACGAUCUGGCCUGCAACUGACGCUCAGUCCCGAAAGCGUGGGGAGCAAAUAGG
This 252-nucleotide ribosomal RNA is filed under the name uncultured bacterium. Its description in RNAcentral is "partial 16S ribosomal RNA". It matches the Rfam family "Bacterial small subunit ribosomal RNA", at positions 524 to 776 of the family's 1533-position model. The record is from RNAcentral.